Molecule: ribosomal RNA, 328 nt
Filed under: uncultured fungus
Lineage: Eukaryota; Fungi
Description: LSU rRNA
Rfam family: Eukaryotic large subunit ribosomal RNA
Source: RNAcentral
AUAUUGGCCAGAGACCGAUAGCGCACAAGUAGAGUGAUCGAAAGAUGAAAAGAACUUUGAAAAGAGAGUUAAAAAGUACGUGAAAUUGUUGAAAGGGAAGCGUUUAUGACCAGACUUGGACUUGGUUAAUCAUCUGGGGUUCUCCCCAGUGCACUUUUCCAGUUCAGGCCAGCAUCAGUUUUCGCCGGGGGAUAAAGGCUUCGGGAAUGUAGCUCUCUUCGGGGAGUGUUAUAGCCCGUUGUGUAAUACCCUGGCGGAGACUGAGGUUCGCGCUUCUGCAAGGAUGCUGGCGUAAUGGUCAUCAACGACCCGUCUUGAAACACGGACC